RNAcentral lists this ribosomal RNA (497 nucleotides) under uncultured bacterium. RNAcentral describes it as "bacterial SSU rRNA". It matches the Rfam family "Bacterial small subunit ribosomal RNA", at positions 791 to 1294 of the family's 1533-position model. The record is from RNAcentral.
UAGUCCACGCUGUAAACGAUGAUCACUCGAUAUUGGCGAUAUACUGUCAGUGUCCAAGCGAAAGUGUUAAGUGAUCCACCUGGGGAGUACGUUCGCAAGAAUGAAACUCAAAGGAAUUGACGGGGGCCCGCACAAGCGGUGGAGCAUGUGGUUUAAUUCGAUGAUACGCGAGGAACCUUACCAGGGCUUAAAUGCAGAACGACAGAUUGGGAAACCAGUCCUUCUUCGGACGGUCUGCAAGGUGCUGCAUGGUUGUCGUCAGCUCGUGCCGUGAGGUGUCGGGUUAAGUCCCAUAACGAGCGCAACCCCUAUCCUUAGUUGCCAGCGAGUAAUGUCGGAGACUCUAAGGAAACUGCCCGCGCAAGCGGUGAGGAAGGUGGGGAUGACGUCAAAUCAUCACGGCCCUUACGUCCUGGGCCACACACGUGCUACAAUGGCGCAUACAAAGGGCAGCUACCUGGUGACAGGAUGCUAAUCUCUAAAGUGCGUCUCAGUUC